RNAcentral lists this ribosomal RNA (454 nucleotides) under uncultured Prevotella sp. RNAcentral describes it as "bacterial SSU rRNA". It matches the Rfam family "Bacterial small subunit ribosomal RNA", at positions 341 to 792 of the family's 1533-position model. Lineage: Bacteria; Pseudomonadati; Bacteroidota; Bacteroidia; Bacteroidales; Prevotellaceae. The record is from RNAcentral.
ACGGAAGGCAGCAGUGAGGAAUAUUGGUCAAUGGACGAGAGUCUGAACCAGCCAAGUAGCGUGCAGGAUGACGGCCCUAUGGGUUGUAAACUGCUUUUGUACGGGAAUAAAGUGACCUACGUGUAGGUUUUUGCAUGUACCGUAAGAAUAAGGACCGGCUAAUUCCGUGCCAGCAGCCGCGGUAAUACGGAAGGUCCGGGCGUUAUCCGGAUUUAUUGGGUUUAAAGGGAGCGUAGGCGGCCUUUUAAGCGUGUUGUGAAAUGUCCCGGCUCAACCGUGGCACUGCAGCGCGAACUGGAGGGCUUGAGUGCGCCGGAAGUAGGCGGAAUUCGUUGUGUAGCGGUGAAAUGCUUAGAUAUGACGAAGAACUCCGAUUGCGAAGGCAGCUUACUGUCGCGUAACUGACGCUGAAGCUCGAAAGUGCGGGUAUCGAACAGGAUUAGAUACCCUGGUA